GAGUUUUGAUCAUGGCUCAGGAUGAACGCUGGCGGCGUGCUUAACACAUGCAAGUCGAACGAAGAUGCCGGAGUGCUUGCACUUUGGCAGACUGAGUGGCGGACGGGUGAGUAACGCGUGGGUAACCUGCCUUAUACAGGGGGAUAACAGUCAGAAAUGGCUGCUAAUACCGCAUAAGCGCACAGAGCUGCAUGGCUCAGUGUGAAAAACUCCGGUGGUAUAAGAUGGACCCGCGUUGGAUUAGCUAGUUGGUGGGGUAACGGCCUACCAAGGCGACGAUCCAUAGCCGGCCUGAGAGGGUGAACGGCCACAUUGGGACUGAGACACGGCCCAGACUCCUACGGGAGGCAGCA
This 353-nucleotide ribosomal RNA is filed under the name uncultured bacterium. RNAcentral describes it as "bacterial SSU rRNA". It matches the Rfam family "Bacterial small subunit ribosomal RNA", at positions 9 to 353 of the family's 1533-position model. The record is from RNAcentral.